CGUCCUGACUGCCUCUUUUGACGGGCAGGAGCUUCUUUACUACGUGGAACUGUCUUCUGUCCGGCCAGCGAUUUCUGGAUAUUCUCCCUGGCUCUGGCAAUGUCGCGGAGGAUCGUGCUGGCUCCGUUCUCCUGCUGGUGCGAAGAGCUGCCGGCCGGCCCGUUCACCUGCUGCUCGUAGAACCUUCUUUCAGCAUCAUCGUACUUAAACUUCUCAAACCAGAUAUUCUCAUUCGAAAGGAAGUCAACUGCCAUUUUUCUGCAAGGUCAGAGAGAAAGAGGGCACACCGGCAGCGCUGAGCCCUCCCGCUCCGCACCGCUCCGCUCGGCCUCCGCGGGGCAAAAGGAGAGCGGCGCUCCGCGCGCGGGGCAUUGUGGGGGCGGAGCGGACCACUCGCGGCUGUAGCGCGGGGGGGGGGUGGAUCAAAAAAAAAAAUACCGCGCACGUUUCGACGUUGAAAGGCGGUGAGAGAGAAUCGCGCUUUCUUCAAUAGAUUUAUUAGACCGCGUGAAGAGCGUGGGGUGAGAGAAGAGAGAGAGAAGAGUGGGAAAAGGAAGGGUGACAAAGGAGAUUGCCCCCCUUGCGCGUGGAGUGGUACAUUCCAAAUGCAUAGGGAGUGCAGAGGGAGAGUC
Molecule: long non-coding RNA, 632 nt
Filed under: Gallus gallus (chicken)
Lineage: Eukaryota; Metazoa; Chordata; Aves; Galliformes; Phasianidae
Source: RNAcentral